This is a long non-coding RNA of Vombatus ursinus (common wombat), 2542 nucleotides long. RefSeq lists it as uncharacterized. The record is from RefSeq and is a predicted model, not a curated record. Lineage: Eukaryota; Metazoa; Chordata; Mammalia; Diprotodontia; Vombatidae. The transcript is spliced from 4 exons.
UGAGAGAUAACACGUGGCAAACUAGGGGGGACUAGUCAUGUACUUUGAGAUAAGUACCUGAGACAGCUCUGAGAAUGAUUGUUCAGGCCUAUUAAUUGCUAUUAAUCUCUGUCUUGUAACUAUUUGCUCAAGAGGCAACGAGUGGCACCCGAACAGGGACCUGAAAAAAAAGGUACGAGGGGAGCGGCUCUCUUGGGACUUGGGAGAAAAUAGAAAAAAAGAAAAAAGAAAUACCUUGGCGGCUCAACGCUGUGGAAACAAGUAGAUUUCUCUGAUCAGACCAAGUGGUUAAUAAAAGACAUGAGCACAAUAAACCUUUGAUAAACCUGUCUGGAUUCCAGAGAAAAAUGUUCGAGCCUGUUCACUACUCACCACCCAGAUGAAGGAAUUGAACCUGCAGCAGAAACGGAAGCAAACUAUGAAGAGAAAGAAAAGACUUACAAUGAUUCCCCUGCUCUCUACCCAGCCGUCAUAUGGACGUUGUGACCAGCAUUGGACUUAUUUUCCUUUAAAGCUUGUAUAAAACCCCACAAGCAUUUAUGAUAGCUUCCUCCUUCUCCAAUAGUUUAGAACCUGGAUUUGUGAACUUGACACAAUCCAGUACUUUAAAAUGGAAUGUAACCUGUCUUAAUUGUAUUAUCAAGCAAUGUAUUGAUCGAAAUGAUAAGAUUGUUCUAUUGGUUGAGCAACCAUCCUUUGCUGUUUUUUCCCACUAACCUUUCUCAUGAAUGGUUCCAAUCUUCUAGGGAACAUGCCCUUCAACUCAUCUCAUCAUCACUACACAGGUCAAAAAGAGUUGUUGGGCUUCUCAUUACUGGAUUAAUUUCUGUUGCUUCCUUAAUUAUUAUAUCCACCCUGUCUUCUAUUGCAUUGCAGUCAGAAAUACAAGAUGCACGAUUUGUAAAUGAGCUUGCAAAAAAUAUUAGCUUAGCCUUACGAGUUCAAGAAGCUAUUGAUAGGGAUUUAUCAUAUAAAGCUAGUCUGUUAGAGCAAUCUGUGCUAUAUAUAGGGGAUGAACUUGCAGAGACAGAGUUUAGGGCAAAAUUAAAAUGUGAUUAUCGCUUUGCUAUGCUCUGUGUCACACCAAUACCUUAUAACUCUAGCAUAGUAAUAUGGGAUGUGAUUAAGUAUCGUUUAGAGGGAAUUUGGCAUAAUAGUAACUUUUCUGCUGAUUUAUCCUUUUUGACUAAUGUUACUCAGGCAAUUUCUGACAGUCUAUUCCCAGGGAUUCAUCCUCAGAGUUUAGCACAAGAAAUCUUAGAAAAAUUGGGCUCGAUAAAUAUAUUCAAAAAUACCUCUGCUUUAUUACUUCAUCUUUUUACUUGGGGAAUUUUAUUAACUCUAGUUUGCCUUGUUCUUCGUUGUGCAGCUGCAUUGAUAAAGUCAUGGUUUAAAUCUCUAGGCACCAAUGUUCAUCAUCUCAAGCUUCAACAAAAACAAAAAGGGGGAGUUGUAGAGGGCCAACUCUGAUCAGUCCAGAAAGGGUUAAAGAAUUCAGGUUGGAAUUUAACUUCUGCCUGCUCUUACCCUCAAGGGCUCUUGUUAUCAGGAUGUUGGCUCACCACUCUCCCAUUCAUUAAGGGGCUCAUGGAGCUGCCCGACCUUGACACAAUAAAAGUCUGGCAUGAGGGAUAACACGUGGCAAACUAGGGGGGACUAGUCAUGUACUUUGAGAUAAGUACCUGAGACAGUUCUGAGAAUGAUUGUUCAGGCCUAAUAAUUGCUAUUAAUCUCUGUCUUGUAACUAUUUGCUUAAGGGGUAUGUAAUCUUUUCUCUUGUUGAUACUUUUAUUGUAUGCUCCUUUGAUGUAUGUCCUGAAAGCAUUUUUUUACUGAGCUCUGAACCUUGAAAGUUAUCAGUAACAGUCUCAGGAUAUGUUUUAGUUUUCCCACACAAAGGAUCCUUUGAAGCUCCAAACUUUUUCCUAUAUAUGCUGUGACCCUCAGAUGAAUAAACGGCUCAGUCUUCACUGACCCACCUGGACCACAUUUCUUCAUUUCACCUGUCCUAUCAGGUGUGACUCUUUGUUGCAGGCAACACCUACUAGACAUCUAGUUCAAAAUGUAUAAAGUACAGUUGUAUACAAUGAUACGAGCCUGGAGCUCAGGAGAGAUACUAGGUGUAUGGAUCUAGGAAUCUUCUGAAUAGGCAUGAUAAUUGAAUCCAUGGGAGCUGAUGAGAUCACCAAAUAAUAUUGUAUAGAGGGAGAAGAGAAGAGGGCCCAUCUGACCUUGCAGGAUGCCUAUGGGUAGUAGGUGCAACAUGGAUGAAGAAUUAGCAGAGGAGAUUGAGAAGAAGCGGAAAGAUAGGUGUAGAACUAGGAGGCAGUAGCAUUACAAAAACCUAAAGAGGAGAGAAUAUUCAGAAAAUGAUGGAUAGUGUCAAAUGAUACAGAGAGAUCAGGAAAAAUGAGAAUUGAGAAAAAGCAAUUAGAUUUGACAAUUAAGAGAUCAUUGGUAACAACAUUUCUGGAGAACAGUGGUAUUAGGAAGAUGUGUUUUUGUGUGGAAGGACAGUUUGAAAUAAAAAUCUCUGCCUUUG